AGUCCUGUUCAUCCCGUGACUGAAGGAGAUACUCUGACGGUGCACUGCUUAUAUCCAUAUACAAGCCCACCAAAUCUCAGAGCUGAUUUCUAUAAAGAUGGAUCACUCAUCCAGAAUCAAACUACAGAGAUGAUCAUCUCUACUGUCUCAAAGUCACAUGAGGGUUUCUACUACUGCAAACACUCAGAGAGAGGAGAGUCACCCAAGAGCUGGAUCUCAGUCAGAAUGUCUCAUUCAGAAUCUCAGAUCUCUGUCCUGCACACACUCAGUUCUGUACUGGCAGUUUGUCCAUAUCUGCUAGUGACAGUCGUGCUGAUUUUCAAAUGCUGCAGGAUGAGAGUUCCAUCUGUUGAAGAGGAAUAAACUUCUAUUUGACAUUCUGUUGUGAUGGUGAGAAAUGUCAGCUUCAUCCGGAAUCUUUCUUCAUUUCUGAUUAUCUAUUCUCAAGUUGUCCACUGCCAGUUCUUUUGAGAGUGACAACUGCAUUUAAAUGCAAGAAUGAAUCCCAUUAGUUUUGUUCUCACUGUGCAAGCAAUACAGAAGUCAAUCCAAUUCUAACCAUUUGCUGUUUCUGUGUUUGCCUGCUUCGCAUUAUAAGCACAUGAGCACAACACCCUAAUUUGUAAGCAUGCAUGUAUAUUCCUUAUUUUAGCAUAAGAUUCCUGAUUUGUAUCA
This is a long non-coding RNA of Cyprinus carpio (common carp), 675 nucleotides long. RefSeq lists it as uncharacterized. The transcript is spliced from 3 exons. Lineage: Eukaryota; Metazoa; Chordata; Actinopteri; Cypriniformes; Cyprinidae. The record is from RefSeq and is a predicted model, not a curated record.